This 250-nucleotide long non-coding RNA is filed under the name Lathyrus oleraceus (garden pea). RNAcentral's name for it is "Pisum sativum (pea) long non-coding RNA (PSAT_LNC021064)". The record is from RNAcentral. Lineage: Eukaryota; Viridiplantae; Streptophyta; Magnoliopsida; Fabales; Fabaceae.
AUGCUCUUAAAUAGAGCUCUGUUAUGAAUCUGCAUUUUGGUAAUGUUACGUCGCUCAUGCCGUUAUGCAUUUACGUUUGCAAGAGUUUUGGUGCAGCUUGAUGUCGUUUUAAUUACCGCGGCAUGAGGCUUAUUCAUGAGCUGCCUUUUGUUUUCAUUGCUUAUGUAGUGCAUUUUCAAUUUCUGUUUCUACAAUGCGUUUGCCGUUGUAGCUUGGCUUUGUAGCUCUUGGUUCAUGGCUGCGUUGGUCG